This 550-nucleotide ribosomal RNA is filed under the name uncultured bacterium. RNAcentral's name for it is "bacterial SSU rRNA". It matches the Rfam family "Bacterial small subunit ribosomal RNA", at positions 355 to 896 of the family's 1533-position model. The record is from RNAcentral.
CAGGGAAUCUUCGGCAAUGGGGGCAACCCUGACCGAGCAACGCCGCGUGAGUGAAGAAGGUUUUCGGAUCGUAAAGCUCUGUUGUAAGAGAAGAACGAGUGUGAGAGUGGAAAGUUCACACUGUGACGGUAACUUACCAGAAAGGGACGGCUAACUACGUGCCAGCAGCCGCGGUAAUACGUAGGUCCCGAGCGUUAUCCGGAUUUAUUGGGCGUAAAGCGAGCGCAGGCGGUUAGAUAAGUCUGAAGUUAAAGGCUGUGGCUUAACCAUAGUACGCUUUGGAAACUGUUUAACUUGAGUGCAGAAGGGGAGAGUGGAAUUCCAUGUGUAGCGGUGAAAUGCGUAGAUAUAUGGAGGAACACCGGUGGCGAAAGCGGCUCUCUGGUCUGUAACUGACGCUGAGGCUCGAAAGCGUGGGGAGCGAACAGGAUUAGAUACCCUGGUAGUCCACGCCGUAAACGAUGAGUGCUAGGUGUUAGGUCCUUUCCGGGACUUAGUGCCGCAGCUAACGCAUUAAGCACUCCGCCUGGGGAGUACGACCGCAAGGUUG